This 77-nucleotide transfer RNA is filed under the name Candidatus Spechtbacteria bacterium RIFCSPLOWO2_02_FULL_38_8. RNAcentral describes it as "tRNA-Val". It matches the Rfam family "tRNA". Rfam says of the family: Transfer RNA (tRNA) molecules are approximately 80 nucleotides in length. Their secondary structure includes four short double-helical elements and three loops (D, anti-codon, and T loops). Lineage: Bacteria; Candidatus Spechtiibacteriota. The record is from RNAcentral.
GGGCGAUUAGCUCAGUUGGCUAGAGCAUCUCGUUUACACCGAGAGGGUCGCAGGUUCGAGUCCUGCAUCGCCCACCA